UUCCAGACUCCUACGGGAGGCAGCAGUGAGGAAUAUUGGUCAAUGGGCGAGAGCCUGAACCAGCCAAGUCGCGUGAGGGAAGACGGUCCUAUGGAUUGUAAACCUCUUUUGUCGGGGAGCAAAAAGGCCUCGUGAGGCCACAAGUGAGAGUACCCGAAGAAAAAGCAUCGGCUAACUCCGUGCCAGCAGCCGCGGUAAUACGGAGGAUGCGAGCGUUAUCCGGAUUUAUUGGGUUUAAAGGGUGCGUAGGCGGACUGGAAAGUCAGCGGUAAAAUCGAGAGGCUCAACCUCUUUCCGCCGUUGAAACUGGCAGUCUCGAGUUGGAGAGAAGUAUGCGGAAUGCGCGGUGUAGCGGUGAAAUGCAUAGAUAUCGCGCAGAACUCCGAUUGCGAAGGCAGCAUGCCGGCUCCACACUGACGCUGAGGCACGAAAGCGUGGGUAUCGAACAGGAUUAGAUACCCCCGUAA
Molecule: ribosomal RNA, 467 nt
Filed under: uncultured bacterium
Lineage: Bacteria
Description: bacterial SSU rRNA
Rfam family: Bacterial small subunit ribosomal RNA
Source: RNAcentral